CCAGCGGCGUGCUAAUACAUGCAGUCGAACGCGUUGGCCCAAUUGAUUGAUGGUGCUUGCACCUGAUUGAUUUUGGUCGCCAACGAGUGGCGGACGGGUGAGUAACACGUAGGUAACCUGCCCAGAAGCGGGGGACAACAUUUGGAAACAGAUGCUAAUACCGCAUAACAACGUUGUUCGCAUGAACAACGCUUAAAAGAUGGCUUCUCGCUAUCACUUCUGGAUGGACCUGCGGUGCAUUAGCUUGUUGGUGGGGUAAUGGCCUACCAAGGCGAUGAUGCAUAGCCGAGUUGAGAGACUGAUCGGCCACAAUGGGACUGAGACACGGCCCAUACUCCUACGGGAGGCAGCAGUAGGGAAUCUUCCACAAUGGGCGCAAGCCUGAUGGAGCAACACCGCGUGAGUGAAGAAGGGUUUCGGCUCGUAAAGCUCUGUUGUUAAAGAAGAACACGUAUGAGAGUAACUGUUCAUACGUUGACGGUAUUUAACCAGAAAGUCACGGCUAACUACGUGCCAGCAGCCGCGGUAAUACGUAGGUGGCAAGCGUUAUCCGGAUUUAUUGGGCGUAAAGAGAGUGCAGGCGGUUUUCUAAGUCUGAUGUGAAAGCCUUCGGCUUAACCGGAGAAGUGCAUCGGAAACUGGAUAACUUGAGUGCAGAAGAGGGUAGUGGAACUCCAUGUGUAGCGGUGGAAUGCGUAGAUAUAUGGAAGAACACCAGUGGCGAAGGCGGCUACCUGGUCUGCAACUGACGCUGAGACUCGAAAGCAUGGGUAGCGAACAGGAUUAGAUACCCUGGUAGUCCAUGCCGUAAACGAUGAGUGCUAGGUGUUGGAGGGUUUCCGCCCUUCAGUGCCGGAGCUAACGCAUUAAGCACUCCGCCUGGGGAGUACGACCGCAAGGUUGAAACUCAAAGGAAUUGACGGGGGCCCGCACAAGCGGUGGAGCAUGUGGUUUAAUUCGAAGCUACGCGAAGAACCUUACCAGGUCUUGACAUCUUGCGCCAACCCUAGAGAUAGGGCGUUUCCUUCGGGAACGCAAUGACAGGUGGUGCAUGGUCGUCGUCAGCUCGUGUCGUGAGAUGUUGGGUUAAGUCCCGCAACGAGCGCAACCCUUGUUACUAGUUGCCAGCAUUAAGUUGGGCACUCUAGUGAGACUGCCGGUGACAAACCGGAGGAAGGUGGGGACGACGUCAGAUCAUCAU
RNAcentral lists this ribosomal RNA (1201 nucleotides) under Limosilactobacillus fermentum. RNAcentral describes it as "bacterial SSU rRNA". It matches the Rfam family "Bacterial small subunit ribosomal RNA", at positions 36 to 1196 of the family's 1533-position model. Lineage: Bacteria; Bacillati; Bacillota; Bacilli; Lactobacillales; Lactobacillaceae. The record is from RNAcentral.